This 425-nucleotide ribosomal RNA is filed under the name uncultured bacterium. Its description in RNAcentral is "bacterial SSU rRNA". It matches the Rfam family "Bacterial small subunit ribosomal RNA", at positions 355 to 774 of the family's 1533-position model. The record is from RNAcentral.
UGGGGAAUAUUGGACAAUGGGCGCAAGCCUGAUCCAGCCACGCCGCGUGAGUGAUGAAGGCCUUCGGGUCGUAAAGCUCUGUGGGAGGGACGAACCGCUGCACGUUCAUAGCGUGCAGCAUGACGGUACCUCCUUAGCAAGCACCGGCUAACUUCGUGCCAGCAGCCGCGGUAAUACGAAGGGUGCAAACGUUGCUCGGAAUUAUUGGGCGUAAAGCGCACGUAGGCGGCUUGACAAGUCGGAUGUGAAAUCCCUCGGCUCAACCAAGGAAGUGCAUCCGAAACUGCCGAGCUUGAGUACGAAAGAGGAUCGCGGAAUUCCCGGUGUAGAGGUGAAAUUCGUAGAUAUCGGGAGGAACACCAGUGGCGAAGGCGGCGAUCUGGGUCGAUACUGACGCUGAGGUGCGAAAGCGUGGGGAGCAAACA